Molecule: long non-coding RNA, 679 nt
Organism: Capsicum annuum
Lineage: Eukaryota; Viridiplantae; Streptophyta; Magnoliopsida; Solanales; Solanaceae
Exons: 2
Source: RefSeq, a predicted model, not a curated record
UAAAAAACGGAUCAGCCCACAAAAGGCGACCCGGGUCCAUCACAUAAACCAGACAUAACAAGGAAAUUCCCUAUUCAGACAAACAUAUCAAUAAACUCGAAAUUGGAAACAAAGAGAGCUGCCGCCUAUCUCGUCAUCGAAAAUGGCUUCUCCGUCGACCUUCCUUGUCAAAGUGGUUAUUGUUGUAGAUGUAAACUCUAUAUAUUAAUAAACACGAAAUAGGAAUCUAAAACAGCUGCAUCCUAUCUCGUCAUCGAAAAUGGCUUCUCCGUCGACCGUCUGCUCCAACUCAUCGGACCAAGAGUUCAUCUUGUCACCUUCCUUGUCAAAGUUAAGUUCCUUUUUCCCCUUCCUUCCAUUGUUAUUUUAUGGGUUGAGCUUCAAUUGUUGUAGAUUUAAACUCUAUAUAUCAAUAGAUUAGCACUUUAGAUCCGAUUUCAUACUGUUUGAUUGCAUUUACCUUCGACAUCCGAAACUCUCAUUGGAUGUUGGUGUAGCAAUCGCAGGAACUCAUUUCCAGCGGUAGAUGAAAUCAUUUCCACUGUCAAUCCCUGAUUAAUAUAGUUUUCAAUCUACUCACCCUUCUAAUUUGGUUUUCAUCUUGGUUGCAAGUACAUUUCGAGAAUCUCUUCUCAGCUGAAUUGAGCAGAAAAGAAGGAACUGCCUUACUGCCAACAGG